RNAcentral lists this ribosomal RNA (254 nucleotides) under uncultured bacterium. Its description in RNAcentral is "partial 16S ribosomal RNA". It matches the Rfam family "Bacterial small subunit ribosomal RNA", at positions 524 to 776 of the family's 1533-position model. The record is from RNAcentral.
UACGUAGGGUGCGAGCGUUGUCCGGAAUUAUUGGGCGUAAAGAGCUCGUAGGCGGUGUGUCACGUCGGCCGUGAAAACCUGCAGCUUAACUGUGGGCGUGCGGUCGAUACGGGCAUCACUGGAGUUCGGCAGGGGAGACUGGAAUUCCUGGUGUAGCGGUGAAAUGCGCAGAUAUCAGGAGGAACACCGGUGGCGAAGGCGGGUCUCUGGGCCGAUACUGACGCUGAUGAGCGAAAGCCAGGGGAGCAAACGGG